RNAcentral lists this ribosomal RNA (253 nucleotides) under uncultured bacterium. Its description in RNAcentral is "partial 16S ribosomal RNA". It matches the Rfam family "Bacterial small subunit ribosomal RNA", at positions 524 to 776 of the family's 1533-position model. The record is from RNAcentral.
UACGGGGGGGGCAAGCGUUGUUCGGAAUUACUGGGCGUAAAGGGCUCGUAGGCGGCCAACUAAGUCAGACGUGAAAUCCCUCGGCUCAACCGGGGAACUGCGUCUGAUACUGGAUGGCUCGAGUUUGGGAGAGGGAUGCGGAAUUCCAGGUGUAGCGGUGAAAUGCGUAGAUAUCUGGAGGAACACCGGUGGCGAAGGCGGCAUCCUGGACCAACACUGACGCUGAGGAGCGAAAGCCAGGGGAGCAAACGGG